Molecule: long non-coding RNA, 1316 nt
Filed under: Bos grunniens (domestic yak)
Lineage: Eukaryota; Metazoa; Chordata; Mammalia; Artiodactyla; Bovidae
Description: lncRNA (ENSBGRG00000021828.1)
Source: RNAcentral
AAUAACUGUAGUGCAAUUUUCCUUAACACUAACAUGAAUGCCUAAUUGGAAAUAUUUGUAUGAUGUUAAUGGAAGUUGAAUUGGUCUCCCAAAUACAAUGAGACUUGAACGUUACUUUGGUAAUUCUGAUAUAUAGAUUUUUAAAAGCACCAACAGGCCCAGAAAAUGCUUUAUGUGAACUCCUUGGAGGAAUUCUUCAGAACAGUUAUUAUUUUAGACCCUAGAAUUUACCACUUUACAGUCUUUCGGGGCUUUGGACUUGUUUCAAGCGCACCCACUUAUCCUUAGGUUCCACUCAAGUAAGGGUAGGUUUACAACUCCAGAAACCACCACUACCACCACCACCCCAAGAGCUUAGUGUACAAUCAAGUAGAGUAACUGGUAUGCAUUUGAGCAAGUGUGCAAGGAUACUUUGGGGCCCAUUUGUCUCUGUGGGAAUUGUAUGCCUUAAUCUGUGUAUUUGUAACAGUUUUUAGUGGUUUAAGGAAGUGUCUUAGUGUAUAGGUCUGUGGGCCUGUGGAGAUGCGUGGGAAUGUUAUGGGUGGAGGUGCCUGAAAGUGGGAAAGACGACUGGCUGCCCAAGGUAGGGGGAUGAUUGACAGCAGACAGCCCCGCCCCCUUCCCCUCCAUUCCUUCCUCUCCUGGUGCAUGGAACUAUCCCUUGAGUGCAGCAAGUUGUAGCGGGCACCGCUGAUCGUGUUUCCCUUUGGGGCACCUUUUAUCUAGAAGCCGAGUUCAGUUUCUUCCAAAGUGAGCCACUCCGCCCCCCUACUCCAUCCUCUUGAAUAAGGAAACAGCCGCCAAGCAUCAGCGGAGCCCAGAUGAGCCGGGGCCGCGGAACCGCUUAGCAGUCUCCCGGGACCCAGCUCUGGAGGAGCCGCAAGCAUGCACCCUGGGUGAGCUGUUGCUAUCACGAGCUCCCCUCCUCUUUCUUACUUUGGGCUACUUUGCCGGACCUGCACUAUACUUGUACUUCUGUCACUGCAGAAAAAGUGGCUGUAGUCAGCAAAAAGGGGUCGGGGGUCUAUGGACAGACACAGGAUCCCGGAGAAAACCCAUGUUAUUCACCCUCCCUCCCGUUUCAGGUUGUGGCUGCUUCUGGUUACUUUGUGCCUGACCGAGGAACUGGCAGGAGCGGCAGAAGAAAUGUGUUUUUCCCUGGUCUACAGGAACAUGAAUUGGCACACACGUUUGAAAGUGGGAGGAGUACACAAGAAAUGGGACUUGGAAGUACGGCGAAUGCUAUAGAAGUUAAACUUAAGUAUUUUCUUUGGAGUCAUUUGACAGUACCAGGUGACAACAUCUGGGCUCUUUAA